GAUGAAGAACGCAGCGAAAUGCGACACUUGGUGUGAAUUGCAGAAUCCCGUGAACCAUCGAGUCUUUGAACGCAAGUUGCGCCCGAAGCCAUUAGGCCGAGGGCACGCCUGCCUGGGCGUCACACGUCGUUGCCCCCCCAUCUACUCCUUCGGGAUUGCGGGGGGCGGAUGAUGGCCUCCCGUGCGCCUUGUCGCGCGGUUGGCAUAAAUGCCAAGUCCUCGGCGACGCACGCCACGACAAUCGGUGGUUGCGAAACCUCGGUUGCCCGUCGUGUGCGGUCGUCGCGCAUCGAGGGCUCGAAAAAAUUGUCGGGCUCCGGCUCGGCUUUCAACGCGACCCCAGGUCAGGCGGGGUUACCCGCUGAAUUUAAGCAUAUCAAUAAGCGGAGGA
RNAcentral lists this unclassified non-coding RNA (391 nucleotides) under soil metagenome. RNAcentral describes it as "partial contains 5.8S ribosomal RNA, internal transcribed spacer 2, and large subunit ribosomal RNA". The stretch from base 1 to 122 matches the Rfam family "5.8S ribosomal RNA", at positions 35 to 154 of the family's 154-position model. The record is from RNAcentral.